RNAcentral lists this ribosomal RNA (376 nucleotides) under uncultured organism. RNAcentral's name for it is "partial 16S ribosomal RNA". It matches the Rfam family "Bacterial small subunit ribosomal RNA", at positions 527 to 896 of the family's 1533-position model. The record is from RNAcentral.
GUAGGUGGCAAGCGUUGUCCGGGAAUUAUUGGGGCGUAAAGCGCGCGCAAGGCGGUUCUUUAAGUCUGAUGUGAAAGCCCACGGGCUCAACCGUGGAGGGUCAUUGGAAACUGGAGAACUUGAGUACAGAAGAGGAAAGCGGAAUUCCACGUGUAGCGGUGAAAUGCGUAGAGAUGUGGAGGAACACCAGUGGCGAAGGCGGCUUUCUGGUCUGUAACUGACGCUGAGGCGCGAAAGCGUGGGGAGCAAACAGGAUUAGAUACCCUGGUAGUCCACGCCGUAAACGAUGAGUGCUAAGUGUUAGGGGGUUUCCGCCCCUUAGUGCUGCAGCUAACGCAUUAAGCACUCCGCCUGGGGAGUACGGCCGCAAAGGCUG